CCACGGGCCAGAGACCCCCCUCUCUGGGUGGCAGACACGGGUGGCUUGCGCCGGCUGCUUUGAAGUAGAGGUCAAAAUACCAGAGCUUUAGAAGAAAAAAGUUUCGUGUUCAUGCCCCUUCUUCUCUGCUUAGUAUGUUGGUAUGAGGAUGUGAUGCCUGGAGCUGGAACAAAAAAUUUGCAACCAUGAGGUGGACAUGCAUGAAGACAAAGAAUUAGCAUGAGCACUGAGGAGCAGGAGGGGCAAUUGAAGCCUGGAGCCAUGAUGGUUUGCACAAUCCUUGGCCUUCUGUGUUGGAUCUAGACUUAUUCAUCCAGGCUUUUUAUAAGCACUUCUUCUUGCUGCCGCCAUGUGAAGAAGGAUGUAU
This is a long non-coding RNA of Cercocebus atys (sooty mangabey), 367 nucleotides long. RefSeq lists it as uncharacterized. The transcript has 3 exons. The record is from RefSeq and is a predicted model, not a curated record. Lineage: Eukaryota; Metazoa; Chordata; Mammalia; Primates; Cercopithecidae.